Molecule: RNA transcript, 3461 nt
Organism: Scatophagus argus
Lineage: Eukaryota; Metazoa; Chordata; Actinopteri; Scatophagidae
Gene: med30
Gene name: mediator complex subunit 30
Exons: 6
Source: RefSeq, a predicted model, not a curated record
UAAAGACGGAAUCUCGCGAUAGUUGGGGCAACUGAGACCUAGCCAGGAAACUUGACAUGUCAACAAAACAGAUAAAUGAUCACCACACAGGCAUGUAAGGUGUUUGCUGGCGUAGAAUAGCCUGACAGGUAACCUCACCUGGACGAAGACCUGCUCCACCAGCAUCUUCUCCUGCUGUCUCCAUGACAACCCCUCCACUAGUGUCGCCUUUUGGCGGGCAGCCUCCACCACCUCAGCAACAGCAGCAGGCCCAGGCAGCACGGGAUGUCAACACGGCCUCACUGUGUCGCAUUGGCCAGGAGACGGUCCAAGACAUUGUCCUCAGAACCAUGGAGAUCUUCCAGCUCCUCAGGAACAUGCAGCUUCCUAAUGGAGUCACUUACCACCCAAACACCCACCAGGACAGGCUGGGAAAACUCCAGGAGCACCUUCGGAUGCUUUCUGUGUUGUUCCGCAAGCUGCGCCUUGUCUACGACAAAUGCAAAGAAAACUGUGCCGGGAUGGACCCCAUACCUCCAGAGCUACUGAUACCCUUUGUGGAGGAUGACAGCUCAAAACAUGAGGAUCGCUCAGCUGGCCAGAACCGCCCUGCCACCGAGGAGAGGAGAGAAAUCCUGGAGGUCAACAAGAAACUCAAGCAGAAGAACCAGCAGCUGAAGCAGAUAAUGGACCAACUCCGCAACCUCAUCUGGGAGAUCAACUCCAUGCUGGCUGUCAGGAGCUGAGCCUCACACACGCGCACACACACACACACACACACACACACACACACACACACACACACACGCGCACACACACACGCACACACACACACACACACACACUAGAAGUAAUAGACAAGAAGAUGUGGUUGUUAACUGGACGUGUGACAGGGUACCACAGACUGGCUGAAGCUGCACUUUACAGAAGAAAUGGGGACUUUGGCAAUAUCAGCCCGAGAGGCGAAACAACAAGAAGAGACAAAUGAAGACGAAAGGGCUCGACGCCACAGGAGAGGGCCGAGGAGGCGCCGGGGGACAGGCCGCUGGUGGCGUUGGGUUUGUCUUGUAUACUUUUAUUUCUCCUUAAACGGCGCACGAAGGUGAACGAACUGGUGACGCUGGUGGGUUUCGGCAACACGUCUUAUGACUGCAUUGCAUCCUGGCCUGGAAAGUUGACUUCAGCGGCUGGUGGGAACAUUUGCUGUGCAGGUAGUCCACACCUGGUGCUUGUUUCUGACGAACUGAUGUUUCAGUCUGGUCUAACGCCAGCGUUCUUCCAUGCAAAACGCUCAGUCUGGCUUGGAAUCUGUGCUUACGAUGUGUCAUCUACUUUGAGUGGUUUUGAGAUGAGUCUUUAGGUCGCUUUUGUCAAACACAUUUGAUUUAAAAGGCUCAAAACAAGAUGCUCUUGCAGUUGUUACGGCUGGCUAUCGUAUGAAACCUUUUGAUACUAGUUUGAUGCCCAAGUUUCAGUAAUAACUCCAAAAUAAUGAUUUCUUAAAUUAAUUUUUUUUUAUACAAAAAUAGUUUUUAACAAAAAGUAUGCAUUCAGAAAUGUUUUGAACACUUCAGAACAAGUGAAUUUAGAAAAAAUGUCACCAUUACAAGUUCUCUGUCGUGAUCCUGGGAUAAUCCUGAAUAUCUGUUAGAGAAUUUUUAAGUAUUUAACGCAAAAACAAACAAAGAAAAAAUGGCACGAGGCGAUGCAGUUAUCAUCAAAUAUGAGUUUAUUUUAUUAUAAAUCAUUCUUACAAAAUUGGCAUUUAUCUAUUUCAUUUGUGACCUCUAUAAAAGUCUUCUGUUAAUUACAAGGUAGGAGGGAGGAGAAGGCAUCGGGACAGCUGGGCUUGACCGAGUCAGACCAACAGAUCUCACUGCUGAUUGGUUACGUGAUGCAACCACUCACUGAUAAAUAAUCCCAAACGGGAAGUGGUCAUUCGUUGUCGCCUUAGCAACAGUGUCCGAUCACAAGGAGGAAAACGGGGCGUUACAAUAAGACGAUGGAAGCUGUGACUCAUCCAGUGUAUGAAGGCAGGGCUGCGGGGGCCCCACAUGUGAUGCUAUCGCCGCCCAGCUACUGGGAACAACAAGUCUAGGACAGACCGUGCUCGGCGUGUCAAGAACUCACAUGUUGAUUAAAGAAAAAAAGGCACAAAUCAAGAACAGACUAGUUUCCAGCACACGCGCCGCCGCCGCCGCCACCACUACUAACACCAACUGCCUGGCACGUUUUGGGUAAACCUUCUUCCAUCUGUUUCGAAGCGCACGUUGAUAACUUGCAUAAUGUUCCCCCACGAUCAAAUGACAGACGCAGGUGAGGCGCUUUAGCGGAUGCAGAGGUUUUCCCGGUGGCCUAAAUCACAUCCAUCACACUCCGGACUCCAUGAUACGCGCACGCCAACUGAAAGAUGGCGCAUUCUCUGUGGCCAAGUUAUCUGACCUGAAUUCGAGCUUUGAAAUAGUCAAUUUAAACUCGACUGUGUCGCAGCCUCAGACCCAUUAUUGUAAUGCAUGAGGGGAAGAUGUUACAGCAGAAACUGAAAGUGUUUCCAUCUGGUGCAGGGGGACCCAGCUGCUUAUUAUUUUCCAUGUUUCAGUUGGCGUAGUCUUUAUUGGGACUUUGCAAUUUGACUCCCGCGGAGAGCCGAGAUGGUGCGGCCCAAUCCAAUUCCAGAUCACUGGUGUAUGCAAUCUUUUAGAGUUAAAGCUCUCCACCAACAACUUUGAAAAUGUUAUAUCUCUCUUGGGGAGUUCUGAAUGAGACAGAGUGUGAUAUAUGUUUCCCCCGGAAAACCAGUGCAGAGUGAGCUGUAUAUUGGCAUCUUUUGUGGAUUAAUGUGCACAGCGUAAAGAAAAUAAACUGAAUAAAUACUAUUAACUCCCCUCAGCGAUGCAGGAUCUGUCUCGUGUUCUCACCGCGUCACCUCAAAUGGUACACAGUCUUUCUUUUUCGUUCUGUUUUUUUUUUUUAUCUCCCAAAAAAAUAAAUAUAUGUCUAUGUACAAUGCUGAGAGUCGCGGGGGUUUGAAAUGGGUGGAAAUAUCUGCAAAGCUGGGGGAUGUGAUUCUCUUGAUGAUGAUGUUCAACAACAAUGAUUCAAAUCAUCAGACAUGAAAGGUUUGACACGGAUUCAAAUGAAAUGGUUCUCUGAAGGUGAAAUAGGGACCAGAUGCGGGACGAGUGAGGGGUACGUUUUCUUCCCUGGAAUCAUCGAUGCUGUAGAUGAACGAACAUAAACAGAUCACAAAUCUCUCCUGGCAAACAAACAGCACCCCAAACUUGAAGUCCCCAAAUGUAAAGACAAACAUGAUAUUCAAAGAGAAAAGAACAUGAUAGUCCUGCUGGCUGUGAUCUGAUAUGCCAAAGCAGAGAAGCUUUGCUGUGGUAGCAUUUGGAUGUGACACAGCAGCGUGAAUGUGCAGGAAGCCUCGCUGACACCGUGAAGGCUUCACAAUACAUUUCACAUAAACUAGAACAAAA